UAGGGAAUCCUCCGCAAUGGGCGAAAGCCUGACGGAGCAACGCCGCGUGAGUGAUGAAGGUCUUCGGAUCGUAAAACUCUGUUAUCAGGGAAGAACAAAUGUGUAAGUAACUGUGCACAUCUUGACGGUACCUGAUCAGAAAGCCACGGCUAACUACGUGCCAGCAGCCGCGGUAAUACGUAGGUGGCAAGCGUUAUCCGGAAUUAUUGGGCGUAAAGCGCGCGUAGGCGGUUUUUUAAGUCUGAUGUGAAAGCCCACGGCUCAACCGUGGAGGGUCAUUGGAAACUGGAAAACUUGAGUGCAGAAGAGGAAAGUGGAAUUCCAUGUGUAGCGGUGAAAUGCGCAGAGAUAUGGAGGAACACCAGUGGCGAAGGCGACUUUCUGGUCUGUAACUGACGCUGAUGUGCGAAAGCGUGGGGAUCAAACAGGAUUAGAUACCCUGGUAGUCCACGCCGUAAACGAUGAGUGCUAAGUGUUAGGGGGUUUCCGCCCCUUAGUGCUGCAGCUAACGCAUUAAGCACUCCGCCUGGGGAGUACGACCGCAAGGUUG
RNAcentral lists this ribosomal RNA (550 nucleotides) under uncultured bacterium. RNAcentral's name for it is "bacterial SSU rRNA". It matches the Rfam family "Bacterial small subunit ribosomal RNA", at positions 355 to 896 of the family's 1533-position model. The record is from RNAcentral.